GGGACACGUGAAACCCUGUGGGAAGCAGGAGGGACCACCCUCCAAGGCUAAAUACUACCUAGUGACCGAUAGCGUAUAGUACCGUGAGGGAAAGGUGAAAAGAACCCCGGGAGGGGAGUGAAAUAGAACCUGAAACCCUGCACUUACAAGCUGUGGAAGCACAUUUCUUGUGUGACCGCGUACUUUUUGUAGAACGGGCCAACGAGUUACGUUAAGUAGCAAGGUUAAGCACUUAAGGUGCGGAGCCGUAGCGAAAGCGAGUUUUAACUGAGCGUUCAGUUACUUGACGUAGACCCGAAACCGGGCGACCUACCCAUGAGCAGGAUGAAGCGAAAGUAAAAUUUCGUGGAGGUCCGAACCCACGAGCGUUGAAAAGCUCGGGGAUGACUUGUGGGUAGCGGUGAAAUUCCAAUCGAGCCCGGAGAUAGCUGGUUCUCCCCGAAAUAGCUUUAGGGCUAGCCUCAAGGUGAGAGAUACGGAGGUAGAGCACUGAAUGUCCUAGGGGGUAUUGCACCUACCGAAGACUAUCAAACUCCGAAUGCCGUCAUCUUAUACUUGGGAGUCAGACUGUGGGUGAUAAGAUUCAUAGUCGAAAGGGCAACAGCCCAGAUCGUCAGCUAAGGUCCCUAAAUGUAAGUUAAGUGGUAAAGGAUGUGGGAUUGCACAGACAACCAGGAUGUUGGCUUAGAAGCAGCCACUCAUUCAAAGAGUGCGUAAUAGCUCACUGGUCGAGUGAUCCUGCGCCGAAGAUUUCCGGGGCUAAAACUUACUACCGAAGCUACGGCAUCAGUAAUGAUGGGUAGGGGAGCUUCCCAUACGGGUUGAAGCAUGACCGUAAGGACAUGUGGACAGUAUGGGAGUGAGAAUGUUGGCAUGAGUAGCGAGAUGUGGGUGAGAAUCCCACAGGCCGUAAACCCAAGGUUUCCAGGGGAAGGUUCGUCCGCCCUGGGUUAGUCGGGACCUAAGCUGAGGCCGAAAGGCGUAGGUGAUGGACAACAGGUUGAUAUUCCUGUACUACCGAUAACCGUUUGAGAGAAGGGAUGACACAGUAGGAUAAGCUAAGCACACUGUUGGUUAUGUGUGCCCAAGCAUUGAGGCAGUCAAAGUAGGCAAAUCCGCUUUGAUAAUGCUGGGAUGUGAUGGGGAGCGAAAUUUAGUAGCGAAGUAGCUGAUUUCACACUGUCAAGAAAAGUCUCUAUCGAGGUUAAAGGUACCCGUACCGCAAACCGACACAGGUGGGUGAGGAGAGUAUCCUAAGGCCAGCGAGAGAACUGUUGUUAAGGAACUCGGCAAAAUGACCCCGUAACUUAGGGAUAAGGGGUGCCACCAUCAGGUGGCCGCAGAGAAUAGGCCCAAGCGACUGUUUACCAAAAACAUAGGUUUCUGCUAAGUCGCAAGACGAUGUAUAGGAGCUGACGCCUGCCCGGUGCUGGAAGGUUAAGGGGAUCUGUUAGAGCAAUCGAAGCAGUGAACUUAAGCCCCAGUAAACGGCGGCCGUAACUAUAACGGUCCUAAGGUAGCGAAAUUCCUUGUCGGGUAAGUUCCGACCCGCACGAAAGGCGUAACGAUUUGGGCACUGUCUCAACAACAGACUCGGUGAAAUUGUAAUUCCGGUGAAGAUGCCGGAUACCUGCGACAGGACGGAAAGACCCCAUGGAGCUUUACUGUAGCUUGACAUUGGGUCUUGGUACUACAUGUACAGGAUAGGUGGGAGGCUUUGAAACCAGGACGCCAGUUUUGGCGGAGCCAUCCUUGGGAUACCACCCUUGUAGUACUGGGACUCUAACCAUAGGCCAUGAAUC
RNAcentral lists this ribosomal RNA (1802 nucleotides) under Clostridioides difficile. Its description in RNAcentral is "partial 23S ribosomal RNA". It matches the Rfam family "Bacterial large subunit ribosomal RNA", at positions 419 to 2240 of the family's 2925-position model. The record is from RNAcentral. Lineage: Bacteria; Bacillati; Bacillota; Clostridia; Peptostreptococcales; Peptostreptococcaceae.